UGCCUAACACAUGCAAGUCGAACGAAUUUUUAAAACUGAAGUUUCGAUGGAUGUUUUAAAAAUUAGUGGCAAACGGGUGAGUAAUACAUAGGUAACCUACCCUUGGGUCUGGGAUAACUUUCCGAAAGGAAAGCUAAUACCGGAUAUACUCUUCAAAUCUAGUGAUUUGAAGAGGAAAGUUUUUUCGCCCUUGGAGGGGCCUAUGUCUGAUUAGCUAGUUGGUGGGGUAAUGGCCUACCAAGGCUACAAUCAGUAGCUGGUCUGAGAGGAUGGUCAGCCACACUGGAACCGAGACACGGUCCAGACUCCUACGGGAGGCAGCAGUGGGGAAUAUUGGACAAUGGGGGCAACCCUGAUCCAGCAAUGCCGCGUGUGUGAAGAAGGCCUGAGGGUUGUAAAGCGC
This 403-nucleotide ribosomal RNA is filed under the name uncultured organism. Its description in RNAcentral is "bacterial SSU rRNA". It matches the Rfam family "Bacterial small subunit ribosomal RNA", at positions 45 to 433 of the family's 1533-position model. The record is from RNAcentral.